This is a long non-coding RNA of Girardinichthys multiradiatus, 454 nucleotides long. RefSeq lists it as uncharacterized. Lineage: Eukaryota; Metazoa; Chordata; Actinopteri; Cyprinodontiformes; Goodeidae. The record is from RefSeq and is a predicted model, not a curated record. The transcript is spliced from 3 exons.
GCCAGAUUAGCAUAGUGUGCCGCCGGUGUUACGUCGGUCUGCGUUUCUCUUGCUCUUACCUCAGUGUAACUUCUGUUGCUUAGCAACCAGGUUAGCGUGAAGCGCAGAGCUGUGAAGCCGAACAAAUGGAGCCUGAAGGAAACCCAGCGGGAGUUUGAAGACAAUGUGCCGGGAGUCAGCUGUUCUCUUGGGGUUUAGCGCACCUCUACCACCCAGUCAGCUGACAGCUGGUGAGGCGAGCAGCUGCUGGGGCAGCGGACGAACACAUCGACACAUUUGUGGUGGGCCACGGAGGAUACAAUGGACCCAUCCAUCAAAUCUGGGGAAAAGAAGGACGCAUUUGUUGGAACCUUGGAGAUUGGACAGUAUUUGUCGCCUCACCCAGGACGUUAUCGGCCUACAAAUGCAUCCUUUAAAAGAUUGCAGACCUUAGUUUGGACACAGCAAUAGUGAA